RNAcentral lists this transfer RNA (74 nucleotides) under Berryella intestinalis. Its description in RNAcentral is "Coriobacteriaceae bacterium 68-1-3 tRNA". It matches the Rfam family "tRNA". Rfam says of the family: Transfer RNA (tRNA) molecules are approximately 80 nucleotides in length. Lineage: Bacteria; Bacillati; Actinomycetota; Coriobacteriia; Eggerthellales; Eggerthellaceae. RNAcentral also lists the same sequence under 1 other name. The record is from Rfam by way of RNAcentral.
GGGGAGUUAGCUCAGUUGGUUAGAGCGCCGGCCUGUCACGUCGGAGGUCGCGGGUUCAAGUCCCGUACUUCCCG